UCUACUUCUAUCCAAGGUAUACUUUUGAAUAUAGCUCAAAGUGUGUUCCCUAGCUAUGAUGCUUGGAAAAUAGCGCGGUUAACUAUUUUCCUGCAUUUUUGUUUGAUUCCUCAGGGCAGGCAAAAAUCCUCCGAUCCACUUCCAGCUGCUGCAACAAAAAUAAGAUCUGCAAUCAGCAGGAAAGGCAAGCACUCCAGCUAGGUGUGUCAUCAACUAAAUUUUACUCUAUUUUCCACGUUAAUAGCUAGGAUACAAACUAUCAGUUCCAUUUUAUUUGCAAAUAGAAGACAAUACAAACAGCGAUUGAUGAUACAAUACCUCUCUGUCCUCUGUUUUCUUUAGACAGAUGCGGUUUCAGUGAAGUAUGCUUCUGGACAGGAAUGUGGCCGGGUUUCAGCAGCCAUGCUACCAGGUCCCGUUAUUCUGCUUCUGAAGACUUAUAACUACUAUUCUGUAUCGAGUGCAUUUUAACCAAUUGACGAGAAUAUUGAAAUGAAACAUGUCCAUUUGAAAAUGACGUGUGAGCACUAGUGAUGUUGAAGACUGGAAGAUCAUCGCAGGAGCAGUUGAGCUGCUGCACAUGGAUGGUGUGCAUUCGCAGGGAGGUGUUUUCGGGUGGUCGGCAGGCCGCUCGCGCUCAAGACGGCGGCGAGCCCGAUCUGGUGGACGGCGACGAGCAGGAAUCGGGAGGGGACCGAGGCGGCAGGUGCAGCGACGCCGCGAGGUUAGAACCUAGGGUCGAUUGGACUCGAUGGAGUCAGUGACCCUGUUGCCCCUCUCUCGUUUGGGGUCGAACCGGUUCGAUCCGCUCGCUAAUUUCAGGAUUCGGAGCGAACUCGAAAAUGGCUCGACCCGCUCCCUUUGCAGGCCUACUAUCUUAAACAUAUUGAAAUGAAGCAUGUCC
Molecule: long non-coding RNA, 904 nt
Filed under: Setaria viridis
Lineage: Eukaryota; Viridiplantae; Streptophyta; Magnoliopsida; Poales; Poaceae
Description: long non-coding RNA (SVIR_LNC008234)
Source: RNAcentral